UAGUAACGUUUAACUGAUUCAAUACUGCUGAUGCUGUUUGAAAAUAACUAAAUUAUUCAAAUGUGUAAUCUAUGUACUUGCAUUUUGAUUGAUUAACAACUCAGUUACAUAGUUUUUGGUGCAGACUUGCAUAGUUUACCUCUAGGAGCCAGGCUACACCAAAACAAUGAAUAAUGAAUUGGGAUUAUAGCCAAACACGUUAUACAGGAAGCAUUUAUGGCACAUCUAGGGACGGUAUGCAGUUAACUGUGUGAUUGCUGUCAUUCACAGGAAGACUAGUGUCCUGAAGCAGAGGAUUUUGGACCCGGAUUUUCCCACACAGCUUGAAGUGACACCCCACUUGCCCUGGAGUCAUCGAAAAUCGCCCACAAAUACCUUCACCGCAGCUUUGCCAAAGCCAAAUGUGACACCACUGCACUGGACAAUAUGCACUCAGGACUCCAGCUUCAAGCCACCCCCCCUGAUAAAUGUGCCUUUUUGAGGUUGCAAAAUGCCUUUUUACGCUAGAGUUGCUUCAGCUUUAGUGGCGAGUUUCAAGUGAAUUUAAAGGGAUGUCUUUUUUCCUUACUGUACAUAUAGAAAAUAGCUUAUUCUACUACUUUUAAACUAACAUUCAGACUUUGUUCAGUAGACUCCCAAAUAGUUGUGCCAAACCACUCAAAUGUGCCAAACUAAUACUUACAAAUACCUCUCUGUGUGUCUUAUAUUGUGAAGUACACUACCAGUCAUAUUUUGGACACACUUUGCUACAAUGCUAAAAAUAAACCGAACUCAUCUAGUACAUACUUCAGUUAGACUAAACAAUAUGGUUCUAAGAUGUUGAAUUGUAGUUACUUACAACCACAGUGAAGUUGAAGUUAAAAUUAACACUGAAAGGACAUCAGUCACAAUUCCCUCCUUUUUCAGUCUAUUGUGUCUGAUUUCAGUCUGAAUGUGUGACGUCAGUUCUUGCUGGAAGCCAUUCUCUGUAGUCAGUUGGCAGUUCUAAUGCACUUUGUAUGUAGACAGAAAUGAAUGGUUGGAAAUUCCCUUAUUUACCAAUAAAGAGUGAGUUUUAAAGGCACUGUUUGCUUCAUUAUGUUCUGUUCUAAAAAUGGGCCUCACAUGUG
Molecule: long non-coding RNA, 1109 nt
Organism: Sinocyclocheilus anshuiensis
Lineage: Eukaryota; Metazoa; Chordata; Actinopteri; Cypriniformes; Cyprinidae
Source: Ensembl